CAGCCGCCGCGGGAAUACGGAGGGUGCAAGCGUUAAUCGGAAUUACUGGGCGUAAAGCGCACGCAGGCGGUCUGACAAGUCAGAUGUGAAAUCCCCGGGCUUAACCUGGGAACUGCAUUUGAAACUGUCAGGCUGGAGUCUUGUAGAGGGGGGUGGAAUUCCAGGUGUAGCGGUGAAAUGCGUAGAGAUCUGGAGGAAUACCGGUGGCGAAGGCGGCCCCCUGGACAAAGACUGACGCUCAGGUGCGAAAGCGUGGGGAGCAAACAGGAUUAGAUACCCCGGUAGUCCCUGUCUUUUAUAA
Molecule: ribosomal RNA, 301 nt
Filed under: uncultured bacterium
Lineage: Bacteria
Description: partial 16S ribosomal RNA
Rfam family: Bacterial small subunit ribosomal RNA
Source: RNAcentral